This 420-nucleotide ribosomal RNA is filed under the name uncultured bacterium. RNAcentral describes it as "partial 16S ribosomal RNA". It matches the Rfam family "Bacterial small subunit ribosomal RNA", at positions 981 to 1377 of the family's 1533-position model. The record is from RNAcentral.
UGGACAUCCUUUUAUACGCUCUAGAAAUAAAGUUUUUCCCUUCGGGGGACAAAGAGACAGGGGGUGCGUGGUUGUCCUCCUCUCGUGUCGAGAGAUGUUGGGUUAAGUCCCACAACGAGCGCCCCCCUUAUUCUUAGUUGCCAUCUUUAAGUUGGGCCCUCUAGGUUGACUGCCGGGGACAACCCGGAGGAAGGGGGGGAUAACGUCAAAUCAUCAUGCCCCUUAUGAUUUGGGCUACCCACGUGCUACAAUGGAUAAAACAAAGGGAACCAAACCCGCAAGGUCAAGCAAACCCCAAAAAAUUAUUCUCAUUUCGAAUUGUACUCUGCACCUCGACUACAUGAAGCUGGAAUCGCUAGUAAUCGUAGAUCAGCAUGCUACGGUGAAUACGUUCCCGGCCGAAAACCUCCGAUCAUUUUU